Molecule: ribosomal RNA, 450 nt
Filed under: uncultured bacterium
Lineage: Bacteria
Description: bacterial SSU rRNA
Rfam family: Bacterial small subunit ribosomal RNA
Source: RNAcentral
AACGAACGCUGGCGGCAGGCUUAACACAUGCAAGUCGAGCGCCCCGCAAGGGGAGCGGCAGACGGGUGAGUAACGCGUGGGAAUCUACCUAGCUCUACGGAAUAGCUCCGGGAAACUGGAAUUAAUACCGUAUACGUCCUUCGGGAGAAAGAUUUAUCGGAGUUAGAUGAGCCCGCGUUGGAUUAGCUAGUUGGUGGGGUAAUGGCCUACCAAGGCGACGAUCCAUAGCUGGUCUGAGAGGAUGAUCAGCCACACUGGGACUGAGACACGGCCCAGACUCCUACGGGAGGCAGCAGUGGGGAAUAUUGGACAAUGGGCGAAAGCCUGAUCCAGCCAUGCCGCGUGAGUGAUGAAGGCCCUAGGGUUGUAAAGCUCUUUCAACGGUGAAGAUAAUGACGGUAACCGUAGAAGAAGCCCCGGCUAACUUCGUGCCAGCCGCCGCCGUAACAC